GAUGAACGCUGGCGGCGUGCCUAAUACAUGCAAGUCGAGCGAACGGACGAGAAGCUUGCUUUUCUGAUGUUAGCGGCGGACGGGUGAGUAACACGUGGAUAACCUACCUAUAAGACUGGGAUAACUUCGGGAAACCGGAGCUAAUACCGGAUAAUAUCUUGAACCGCAUGGUUCAAAAGUGAAAGACGGUCUUGCUGUCACUUAUAGAUGGAUCCGCGCUGCAUUAGCUAGUUGGUAAGGUAACGGCUUACCAAGGCAACGAUGCAUAGCCGACCGGAGAGGGUGAUAGGCCACCCUGGAACUGAGACACGGUCCAGACUCCUACGGGAGGCAGCAGUAGGGAAUCGGCCGCAAUGGGCGAAAGUCUGACGGAGCAACGCCGCGUGAGUGAUGAAGGUCUUCGGAGCGUAAAACUCUGUUAUUAGGGAAGAACAUAUGUGUAAGUAACUGUGCACAUCUUGACGGUACCUAAUCAGAAAGCCACGGCUAACUACGUG
RNAcentral lists this ribosomal RNA (497 nucleotides) under uncultured bacterium. Its description in RNAcentral is "partial 16S ribosomal RNA". It matches the Rfam family "Bacterial small subunit ribosomal RNA", at positions 28 to 507 of the family's 1533-position model. The record is from RNAcentral.